UUGACUUUCCUGGUUUUGGUACUAAUCCUGAGAGAUUGCUCUUUUAUCUUUUUGGUUAAUUUAGAUCAAAUUUCCGAGAAGAUUAAGUACUACAUGAAGGAAAAUGCAAAACAUGCAGAAAAAAUGUCCAUUUGUGAAUAGAAGGUUCACCUCUCCCUUUACGAAGUUCAUACCAGCAAAGUGAAAUUGAAGUGUGAAGAACAGGAAGUGAAAUCGAAGUCUGAAGAAACAGGCUGCACAGAAAGAAAAUGCUCAGGUUAAGAUCCACAGAAUCAGUUUAUGCAAGUCAGAAUCAACCUCCAUCCACCUCCAUCCUUUAUGAGACC
Prionailurus viverrinus (fishing cat) is the source of this 326-nucleotide long non-coding RNA. RefSeq lists it as uncharacterized. The transcript is spliced from 3 exons. Lineage: Eukaryota; Metazoa; Chordata; Mammalia; Carnivora; Felidae. The record is from RefSeq and is a predicted model, not a curated record.